Molecule: transfer RNA, 79 nt
Filed under: Aedes aegypti (yellow fever mosquito)
Lineage: Eukaryota; Metazoa; Arthropoda; Insecta; Diptera; Culicidae
Rfam family: tRNA
About the family: Transfer RNA (tRNA) molecules are approximately 80 nucleotides in length. Their secondary structure includes four short double-helical elements and three loops (D, anti-codon, and T loops).
Source: Rfam by way of RNAcentral
CCUCUCAUGGCGUAGUGGUAACGCGCCCCAACUAGAGAUUGGGGAGUCGUGAUCGUGAGUUCGAUUCUCACUGAGAAGA